RNAcentral lists this long non-coding RNA (6866 nucleotides) under Brassica napus (rape). RNAcentral's name for it is "long non-coding RNA (BNAP_LNC001192)". Lineage: Eukaryota; Viridiplantae; Streptophyta; Magnoliopsida; Brassicales; Brassicaceae. The record is from RNAcentral.
GAAGGAAGAAGAAAAGAUGACGACGCAGAAUAAAGAGAUGGAAGUGGUGAAGGAUCUCGACUUGGAGAGAUACAUGGGCCGUUGGUACGAGAUUGCUUCUUUGCCUUCCAUUUUUCAGCCCAAGAACGGUAUUGACACUCGCGCCACCUACACCCUCAACCCUGACGGCACGGUUGAUGUCUUGAACGAGACGUGGAACAGUGGCAAGAGAGUUUUCAUCCAAGGCUCAGCAUACAAGACUGAUCCUAAGAGCGACGAGGCUAAGUUCAAAGUUAAGUUCUACGUCCCUCCUUUCCUCCCUAUCAUUCCUGUCACUGGAGAUUACUGGGUGUUGUAUAUUGAUCCUGAGUACCAGCACGCCGUCAUCGGCCAGCCUUCAAGGAGUUAUCUCUGGGUAUGUCUUGUUGUGUUUUGUCUCUUUAUGAUGAAUAUGAUAGAAAAAGCUAAGGAUUGAUAUUGAGUAUGUGGGAUAUGUGGUGUAGAUACUGAGCAGGACGGCACAUGUGGAGGAAGAGACAUACAAGCAGCUGCUGGAGAAGGCGGUGGAGGAAGGGUACGACGUCAGCAAGCUUCACAAGACCCCUCAGAGUGACACACCACCUGAGUCCAACGCUGCUCCUAACGACACCAAGGAUCAAAUGCUAAAAUAGACCACAAAGGGUCAAAAAAAUUUGAUAUAGACCUAUUGUUUCUUUAUUUUAAUAAUAAAUAAAAAUUAGGGAGAAAAGACAAUGAGACCUAAUGAAGUCAACCCAAAAAUUUAGAUGUAUUUUGGUAUAACUAAUGCAACAAGUUCAACUACACUGUAAUAUAUAAGAAUAGUACAACUACUCGACAUUAGUGUUUCAAUCAAAAUAUUUAAAAUAAGAUACACAUUCAAAACAUGAUGCAUAUUUAAAACAAUACUAAAUUAAAUAACAAGUAGUUAUACCGGUUUUCUAGUUGUAUCGGUUGUGUAUAGUUAAUAGUUGUACUAGUUUUUGAGUUGUACCAUUUUGUGCAUAGUUGUACUUUGGUAAUAAAAACCAAAAUAUUAAUUCUUCCACAUAAUAAAUAUAUUUAUCUCAGUUGUACCACUUAUUUAUGUUUUCAUGCAUUUGCCCGAUUAUAAUGAAAUCAUCAAUUUUAUAAAAAUACAUUUCAUGUAUGUUUUUCAAAAAUUAUGUGGACAAACAAGUUAACAAACCUUAAAAGUAUAAGGUAUAUCAUGUAAAUUUCUGGAACUGUGUAAUAACUUUUAUUUUAUUUUUUCAAAACUUAUAAUAAAUUAAGAAAAACUUUUUGAAUACAUACCCUUUGCCGUCUGCAAGAAACUGAAAAUCAACCCUUUGCAGUAUGUACACGACUGUUACACUUGUGAACGGUAUUACAAAACUUAUGCUGCCACUUUUUCUCCUGUUCCGGAGUUAUCAGCUUGGCCGGAAGCUUCCGGAGUUCUGAGAUUGUUUCCCCCAGUCAUUCCUCCGCCACCACCGCCUCCAUCUUCUGUAGUACCAUGUAAGGCCCAACGCAAAUCAACUCUUAAGACUAAUAAAAGGAAGAGCUGAGAAAUGUAGAUUUUCAUCUGAAUCGAACCGGACAUUUUGGUAUGUUUAUGUAGUAUCUUGCGACUUUCAGAAGUAGGGUUAAUCCCGGUUUGAAUUUUACGAUGUUGAUGCUGUAAUGUAAGAAACAGAACGUGUGUUGGUGUUUUUUUUUGGUAUGUGAUGAUUAAUCCGGUUUGUGUCAGAAAUUUUGUCGAUCCCAUGAACCGAUACAAAAACAAAGCUAAACCGGAUCGGAAACUGAAGCCAACCGUCAUGUUCUUCACCAUCUCAUUCCGAAUCGUUUCUCUCUUGCUAUCUCACUUCCAGGUGGGCGGUAAUAUACAAACAAAUAACAUGUGUAUGUUAAGCUUAUCCCUUUGCUCUUUAAGAAAGUUUUUUUUAAUCUGCAAGGAGGUGAGUGCGAUCCUAAAAUCCACUUUAGAAAUUUGUUAGUGUUUGUAAUAAGAUUAAAGAAGAAGAAUUUUGUGUACAACAAUAUCCUCAAACCAAAACAAAGUUGACGAAAAUGGACUUUAUGAAUAUAGAUCUCGAAUGUUUUACAAGAUAUGGAAAUGGUAAUCUAAACAAGGCUCAGAGGUGUGUUCAAACAUGUCAUGUCAUGUCUCUCCUUAAGGUGAGCCUCAAACUGAGAAUCAAAAUAAAGAUAAAGACUGAAAUGGGUAAGUGAAGAGUUUGAAGUCGAUAGGUUAGUGUGUUCAAAUAUGUCAUGUCUCCUUGCUCUCAUCUCUCAUCUUUUUUUUGGUUUUUGAUAUUUUCUCUUCUUCUCAUCAUUCCGAUCUCGGAAAUCUCGGACGCUCAGUGGUCACCACGAAAAAAGUUGAGUGUUACAAUCUAGUUAAUCGCACAAUUAUGAAAAAUGUUCUUGGGUGGGCCUAAAAAUGGCAAAAGAAAGUCAAAACAAAGUGUGAAUGUUUGGCUUGGCCCAUUGCAUUGUAUUCUUCUACGGUUCUACCUCCCGCCCAUAGAACAAAGAAAAGAGAAACAGACAUAUGUGUCCUCCUCCUUGUUUCAGAUUACAUCUCUUAGAUGCUACUAGAACCAUUUGCCCUACACGCUUCCCACGUGUCAGUCUCUCUUCCCACAGAAAUCCACUUUGUGGUCUUUUUCUGUUUUCUUUUAUAAAAAAUAAACAGAAUCCCUCUUUCUUAUCCUACUCAAUAAAAUAUCUGAACCUUAGAGAAGAAGGAAGAAGAAAAGAUGACGACGCAGAAGAAAGAGAUGGAAGUGGUGAAGGAUCUUGACUUGGAGAGAUACAUGGGCCGUUGGUACGAGAUUGCUUCUUUCCCUUCCAUUUUUCAGCCCAAGAACGGUAUUGACACUCGCGCCACCUACACCCUCAACCCUGACGGCACGGUUGAUGUCUUGAACGAGACGUGGAACAGUGGCAAGAGAGUUUUCAUCCAAGGCUCAGCAUACAAGACUGAUCCUAAGAGCGACGAGGCUAAGUUCAAAGUUAAGUUCUACGUCCCUCCUUUCCUCCCUAUCAUUCCUGUCACUGGAGAUUACUGGGUGUUGUAUAUUGAUCCUGAGUACCAGCACGCCGUCAUCGGCCAGCCUUCAAGGAGUUAUCUCUGGGUAUGUCUUGUUGUGUUUUGUCUCUUUAUGAUGAAUAUGAUAGAAAAAGCUAAGGAUUGAUAUUGAGUAUGUGGGAUAUGUGGUGUAGAUACUGAGCAGGACGGCACAUGUGGAGGAAGAGACAUACAAGCAGCUGCUGGAGAAGGCGGUGGAGGAAGGGUACGACGUCAGCAAGCUUCACAAGACCCCUCAGAGUGACACACCACCUGAGUCCAACGCUGCUCCUAACGACACCAAGGAUCAAAUGCUAAAAUAGACCACAAAGGGUCAAAAAAAUUUGAUAUAGACCUAUUGUUUCUUUAUUUUAAUAAUAAAUAAAAAUUAGGGAGAAAAGACAAUGAGACCUAAUAACUUAAACAUAUUUACUAAUCUAUGCCAUUGCAAUUCUACCCAGAUUCUGAUCCAGAUUCUGACCCGGAUCCAUACCCAAACCCGAUCUAACUCUAACCCUAGUCUUCUUCUUCCUCCUUUUUUCUUCUCCAUUAAUGUUCCUUCAUUUUAAAAAAAAAAUCAAAAAUUUUCUUUAACCAUCCUUUAAUUUUCUCUUUCUUAACCCAAAUCGAACAAUCCAUACUCAUAUUUAAUCAAUUAUAUCUUAUUUAGAAUCAAAUUUCAUAUUUUAUGAAUGAGAUUUAAAAUAAAGAAGAACGCGAAGUAUAACUAAUACAAAGAGUACAACUACAACUGGUACGGAUAGUACAACUCCAACUCAUACAACUAAUACAAAUCAAAUUGGUACAACUAGUACAGCUAAAACAAAUAUAACUAGUAUAAAUAUAUUGAGUAUAGCCAAUAUAGCUGAUACAAGAAAAACUUGUAUAACUAAUACAACUUUACAAUAAUUUGGUGAGUUUUUAUUUUUUGUUAUCAACAUAUAAAAAUGACAUAAAAAGGAUAAUUUAGAACCAAUAAAACAUGUUGGUCUAAUCUUUUCCCGCCUGCAUGUAUCAAAUACAUGAAUUGUAUAUUUUUAAUAAUAUUUGAAUUGAAUAAUGAUUUAUUUACAAGUUGUACAAGUUAUACUGGUUGUACUAUUUUCUAAAAAAAACAUCAAUCAUCUUUUUAUUCUUAAGGCCAAAAAAGUAGAUGUGGAUCCAAAAAAGUCUUUAACCAUGGUUCUAAAAAACACAAGUCACUGGAAAAAUAAAAAGAAGGGAACGUCGGCGAUGAGUAAGAGUAACCAUCAUCGAUGGAGAAAAAGAUGGUCUCUAUUGUGAAGAAGAGAGAUGCCGCAUCGGAAAAUAAAAAAGACGCAGUGAAGAAAAAGAGAGAUGCGACAAAGAAGAGUGUAGUCGUGGUGAAAAAUAGGAAGCUUGACGGUGGUGUCCAUGGUGGGUCUUCGUCAAAUCCAAACAAACAGCUCGGAAUUGCAAGAGAGAAACCACAUUUCCACCGGACCCUCAAUGCGUUCUUUUCCCGAAACCAUCAAUGGCUUCACCAUUUCAGCCCACUAGUAAGCCCCAUAAAUCAUGAAGUCAACCCAAAAAUUUAGAUGUAUUUUGGUAUAACUAAUGCAACAAGUUCAACUACACUGUAAUAUAUAAGAAUAGUACAACUACUCGACAUUAGUGUUUCAAUCAAAAUAUUUAAAAUAAGAUACACAUUCAAAACAUGAUGCAUAUUUAAAACAAUACUAAAUUAAAUAACAAGUAGUUAUACCGGUUUUCUAGUUGUAUCGGUUGUGUAUAGUUAAUAGUUGUACUAGUUUUUGAGUUGUACCAUUUUGUGCAUAGUUGUACUUUGGUAAUAAAAACCAAAAUAUUAAUUCUUCCACAUAAUAAAUAUAUUUAUCUCAGUUGUACCACUUAUUUAUGUUUUCAUGCAUUUGCCCGAUUAUAAUGAAAUCAUCAAUUUUAUAAAAAUACAUUUCAUGUAUGUUUUUCAAAAAUUAUGUGGACAAACAAGUUAACAAACCUUAAAAGUAUAAGGUAUAUCAUGUAAAUUUCUGGAACUGUGUAAUAACUUUUAUUUUAUUUUUUCAAAACUUAUAAUAAAUUAAGAAAAACUUUUUGAAUACAUACCCUUUGCCGUCUGCAAGAAACUGAAAAUCAACCCUUUGCAGUAUGUACACGACUGUUACACUUGUGAACGGUAUUACAAAACUUAUGCUGCCACUUUUUCUCCUGUUCCGGAGUUAUCAGCUUGGCCGGAAGCUUCCGGAGUUCUGAGAUUGUUUCCCCCAGUCAUUCCUCCGCCACCACCGCCUCCAUCUUCUGUAGUACCAUGUAAGGCCCAACGCAAAUCAACUCUUAAGACUAAUAAAAGGAAGAGCUGAGAAAUGUAGAUUUUCAUCUGAAUCGAACCGGACAUUUUGGUAUGUUUAUGUAGUAUCUUGCGACUUUCAGAAGUAGGGUUAAUCCCGGUUUGAAUUUUACGAUGUUGAUGCUGUAAUGGAAGAAACAGAACGUGUGUUGGUGUUUUUUUUUGGUAUGUGAUGAUUAAUCCGGUUUGUGUCAGAAAUUUUGUCGAUCCCAUGAACCGAUACAAAAACAAAGCUAAACCGGAUCGGAAACUGAAGCCAACCGUCAUGUUCUUCACCAUCUCAUUCCGAAUCGUUUCUCUCUUGCUAUCUCACUUCCAGGUGGGCGGUAAUAUACAAACAAAUAACAUGUGUAUGUUAAGCUUAUCCCUUUGCUCUUUAAGAAAGUUUUUUUUAAUCUGCAAGGAGGUGAGUGCGAUCCUAAAAUCCACUUUAGAAAUUUGUUAGUGUUUGUAAUAAGAUUAAAGAAGAAGAAUUUUGUGUACAACAAUAUCCUCAAACCAAAACAAAGUUGACGAAAAUGGACUUUAUGAAUAUAGAUCUCGAAUGUUUUACAAGAUAUGGAAAUGGUAAUCUAAACAAGGCUCAGAGGUGUGUUCAAACAUGUCAUGUCAUGUCUCUCCUUAAGGUGAGCCUCAAACUGAGAAUCAAAAUAAAGAUAAAGACUGAAAUGGGUAAGUGAAGAGUUUGAAGUCGAUAGGUUAGUGUGUUCAAAUAUGUCAUGUCUCCUUGCUCUCAUCUCUCAUCUUUUUUUUGGUUUUUGAUAUUUUCUCUUCUUCUCAUCAUUCCGAUCUCGGAAAUCUCGGACGCUCAGUGGUCACCACGAAAAAAGUUGAGUGUUACAAUCUAGUUAAUCGCACAAUUAUGAAAAAUGUUCUUGGGUGGGCCUAAAAAUGGCAAAAGAAAGUCAAAACAAAGUGUGAAUGUUUGGCUUGGCCCAUUGCAUUGUAUUCUUCUACGGUUCUACCUCCCGCCCAUAGAACAAAGAAAAGAGAAACAGACAUAUGUGUCCUCCUCCUUGUUUCAGAUUACAUCUCUUAGAUGCUACUAGAACCAUUUGCCCUACACGCUUCCCACGUGUCAGUCUCUCUUCCCACAGAAAUCCACUUUGUGGUCUUUUUCUGUUUUCUUUUAUAAAAAAUAAACAGAAUCCCUCUUUCUUAUCCUACUCAAUAAAAUAUCUGAACCUUAGAGAAGAAGGAAGAAGAAAAGAUGACGACGCAGAAGAAAGAGAUGGAAGUGGUGAAGGAUCUUGACUUGGAGAGAUACAUGGGCCGUUGGUACGAGAUUGCUUCUUUCCCUUCCAUUUUUCAGCCCAAGAACGGUAUUGACACUCGCGCCACCUACACCCUCAACCCUGACGGCACGGUUGAUGUCUUGAACGAGACGUGGAACAGUGGCAAGAGAGUUUUCAUCCAAGGCUCAGCAUACAAGACUGAUCCUAAGAGCGACGAGGCUAAGUUCAAAGUUAAGUUCUACGUCCC